AUACUCUGGUUUCCCUUCAGAUCGUAUAAAUCUUUCGCCUUUUACUAAAGAUUUCUGUGAAGAGGAAAAACUCUUAGUUUUAAGCUAAUUUUUAAGAGGCCUUGCUUUUUAGCAAGAC
Small nuclear RNA from Callithrix jacchus (white-tufted-ear marmoset), 118 nucleotides. Its record names the gene U5. It matches the Rfam family "U5 spliceosomal RNA". From Rfam's summary of the family: U5 RNA is a component of both types of known spliceosome. Lineage: Eukaryota; Metazoa; Chordata; Mammalia; Primates; Cebidae. The record is from Ensembl.